AUACGUAGGUGGCAAGCGUUAUCCGGAUUUACUGGGCGUAAAGGGCGUGUAGGCGGUCUUGCAAGUCAGAAGUGAAAUUCCUGAGCUCAACUCGGGCGCUGCUUCUGAAACUGCAGGACUUGAGUGCUGGAGGGGAUAGCGGAAUUCCUAGUGGAGCGGUAAAAUGCGCAGAUAUUAGGAAGAACACCGGUGGCGAAGGCGGCUAUCUGGACAGUACCUGACGCGGAGGCGCGAAAGCGUGGGGAGCAAACAGGAUUAGAUACCCUGUUAGUCCACGCCUUAAACGAUGAAUACUAGGUGUAGGAGGUAUCGACUCCUCCUGUGCCGCAGCUAACGCAAUAAGUAUUCCACCUGGGGAGUACGGCCGCAAGGUUGAAACUCAAAGGAAUUGCCGGGG
RNAcentral lists this ribosomal RNA (397 nucleotides) under uncultured bacterium. RNAcentral describes it as "partial 16S ribosomal RNA". It matches the Rfam family "Bacterial small subunit ribosomal RNA", at positions 523 to 918 of the family's 1533-position model. The record is from RNAcentral.